UACGUAGGGUGCAAGCGUUGUCCGGAAUUAUUGGGCGUAAAGAGCUUGUAGGCGGUUUGUCGCGUCUGCUGUGAAAUUUCGGGGCUCAACCCCGAACUUGCAGUGGGUACGGGCAGACUAGAGUGUGGUAGGGGAGACUGGAAUUCCUGGUGUAGCGGUGAAAUGCGCAGAUAUCAGGAGGAACACCGAUGGCGAAGGCAGGUCUCUGGGCCAUAACUGACGUGAGAAGCGAAAGCAUGGGGAGCGAACAGG
Molecule: ribosomal RNA, 252 nt
Filed under: uncultured bacterium
Lineage: Bacteria
Description: partial 16S ribosomal RNA
Rfam family: Bacterial small subunit ribosomal RNA
Source: RNAcentral